ACUCAGAUUUUGGAUGUUAUGUGGUCAUAAUUAUUGAGUUUAUACUUCCACGGUUGAAAACAAAAUUACAUUUAUCAGUCAUCAGUCAUCGACGUCAGUGUUUGAAGAAGCCAUUCUUUUAUUUUUAAGUUGUUGUCAACAUAAAAAAGUGUUAUCUUCUCAAGGCAUAUGACAUCACUUCGCUUUGGAGUUUCCGUCAAAUCCUCGGCCUGAAAAAAGAAAAUGUUAAGAGCAUUUGGCGGAUCAAAAUGGCGCCUAAAAUACCAUAUACAGAUGAAAAGUCAUCAGAAGGAAUAAACAAUAAAGCU
Molecule: long non-coding RNA, 308 nt
Organism: Myzus persicae (green peach aphid)
Lineage: Eukaryota; Metazoa; Arthropoda; Insecta; Hemiptera; Aphididae
Exons: 3
Source: RefSeq, a predicted model, not a curated record